GCCUAUCCCAGCUGUCAUUUGUCUUUACAAUUAUGAAUUAUUGAAUUUUUUUCAAAAUAUAUUUAUAGUGUAGUAGUAAUCCAUCCAUCCAUUUUUCUUUGCAGCUUAUCCUCAUGAUGGUCAGGGGGAGUGCCGUGGCCUAUCCCAGCUGUCAUUUGUCUUUACAAUUAUGAAUUAUUGAUUUUUUUUUCACAAUGUAUUUAUAGUGUAGUAGUAAUCCAUCCAUCCAGCCAUCCAUUUUUCUUUGCCGCUCCAUCCAUUUUCUUAGCCGCUUAUCCUCACGAGGGUCGCGGGAGUGCUAAAGCCUAUCCCAGCUGUCAACGGGCAGGAGGCAGGGUACCCCCUGAACAGGUCGCCAGCCAAUCGCAGGGCACGUUGAGACGAGCAACAGUCGGUCACAAUCACACCUCGGGGCAAUUUAGAGCGUCCAAUUAAUGUUGCACGUUUUUGAAACCGGAGUGGCCAGAGAAAACGCACGCAGGCACGGGAAGAACAUGCAAAUGGCACACAGGUGGGUACGGGAUUGAACCCGGGACCUCAGAACUGUGAGGACAACGCUUUACCAGCUGCUCCACUGUGCCGCCCUCUUUGACUUAUUUUUAUUUUUAAUUUUUCGGUGCGCGGCCUCCCGGUAACGCACGGUCCGCUGGAGGGGGGGCCCUCAUCAGUCUCCUCGCUUAUCUGAUCUUUUCAGGUGGGUGGAGAGCUUGCCAGCGAGGAGACAAAUGAGGGGAAAACAUUCAUAUUAAGAGUCCUUCAGGGCACUCGCGCGUUGUUGAGCAGCAAGUCUUGCUACGGCUAAAUAUUCUACAUCGAAAUGUCAAUCAUCACUAUUAUAGUUAUGUUUAUAAUAUGCCUCUGUGUGAAGGCUGUCAACUAUGUACAAAAAGUGUUUAUGGUGCUAUUACUACAUAAAAGUCUUCUCGUCAGUUUUUUUCAUCCUGCAAAAUGGGAAUUUAUCCAUCCACCCUGAACUGGUCGCCAGCCAAUCGCAGGGCACAUGGAGACAAACGGCCACACUCACAAUCACACCUACGGGCAAUUUAGAGUGUCCAAUUAAUGUUGCGUGUUUGCAUGUGGGAGGAAACCAGAGUGCUCCCCGCGAGAAAACCCACGCAGGCACGGGGAGAACAUGCAAACUCCGCACAGGCGGGUCCGGGAUUGAACCCGGGACCUCAGAACUGUGAGGCCAACGCUUUACCAGCUGGUCCACCGUGCCGCAAUAGGAAUUUAGUGAGAGUUAGGAAAAAAAAGUAAAAAGUUAAUGUUGUAGUUUUAAAAAAAAAAAAAAAAGUAGCAGCAUCACUUUUACACGGAUAGGCUCCAGCAUUCCCGCGACCCUCGUGAGGAUAAGCAACUAAGAAACUAGAUGGAUGGAUUAGACAACCAUGGUUAAAUGUCUGAAAUUAUUCUCACUCGUACAACCAUACCCGAUGUUUAAAAUCUAUUGCUUAGAACGCUGGAUUAGAAUUUUAGAACAUGCUCAAUGUUAACGAGUUAGUAUCCGUGUUCAAUACUUUUCAUUGAUAUCGCUAUGACAACUUUUUACAGUCCAAUGUCACUUUCGUGUGUCGUCAAGUUUAAUUUUACCUGAGCAAUUUGUCGAAAAAAAAAACAAUUGGUACAGGAGGAAAACUUCGGUUAUGAUUUGCGACAUGCCCUGCGAUUGGCCGGCAACCAGUUUAGGGUGUAUGCCUGUCUCCUGCCUGUUGACAGCUGGGAUAGGCUCCAGCGCUCCCCGUGACCCUCGUGUGGAUGAGCGGCCAAGAAAUUUGAUGGAUGGAUUUGUGACAAAAGAGAUUUAAAACGUUGUGGAAAGUUUUCAUCGUGUCCACUUUCCUUCGUAGCAUUGAAACUUUGCUUUACUUGGGCUCAGUGCUUAGAACGCGGUCAGAUCUUUUCCGAUGGGUUCAUAAUGAUAAUAAUAAUAUAAUAAUAAUAGUGAUAAUGAUAUAGUGGGGCGACACGGUGGAUCAGCUGUGAUUGUGAGUUUUGUCUCUAUGUGCCCUACGAUUGGCUGGCAACCAGUUUAGAGCGUACCCCACAUCGUGCCUGAUGAUACCUGGGAUUGGCACCAGCACCCCUGCGACGCUUGUGAGGAUAAGCGGCAAAGGAAAUAGAUGGAUGGAUGGAUGGAUGGAUGAUAAAGUGGCCUUCAUAUGGUGCGAAACCAGUCAGGGUUACCAUUACCAGCUUCCAAAGUGUCAUGCGAGGAGCCGGAUCGCGGAGGCCGACAUUGCGUCGGAAGACAAAUGCGCUUACCUGCGUCGCCGUAAAAAUAGCAAAAGAGUGACGGGGUGACGAAGCAGAGCGACAGAAGGGCCCCGCGUGGAAGUCAAUCAAGACAGGAGAGAGGAGGGGAAAUCCAAUGAAUAGCAAACUUGGGCAACUUCGACAUCGCGGCGCCGAGAUGGACAAAAAGCCGAGCGGCUUCAGCAAAUCCAAGAUGACGCUCGCGGCGAGAUUAGGGAGAAAUUGCACAACCGCGGAAGGAAGACAUCGAGAGGGACUUUCAGGAAGGAGCCCAAGAGGCCCAGGUUCUGACCAAUCCCGCCCCCCGAACUUUUUACCGGAGAACCAGCACCGAGACUGGACCCACUUCCUGUAAAAAGCAGCAGGACCUUCGCACCAGUGUUUUAGAAGGACAGGAAGUGACGUGUGAGAAGAGAGACGUGGGAGAGAAAGAGAGAAAAACUUUAUAUAAGUGUUUAAGAAGGACAGGAAGUGACGUGUAAGAAGAGUGACGGAGAGAGAAAGAGAGAAAAACUUUAUACAAGGUGGGGAAAUAUUUAUUAAAGCACGUGCUGAAUUUAUUUUCCUUUGUUGACCCUUGAAAUACUUUUGUUUGUCAUUUUAUUGUUGUAACCAGUGUUUGAGAAGGACAGCACCCGUGUUUAUUUUUGUUGUUUCCAGCUAGCUACAGUUAAUGGGUCGUUUUCACUGCGUCACAUUUUUUUGCUGAAUUAGCCACACACCACCGCGCACCGCCAUUGAACCCAAACGCGUACCCAGUGUGGAAGUCUACGGGAUACUCUCGGUUACUGUUUGUGUUUUUGUGUUUCACGGGCGUCUCGGGACUCGAGUACACAAGAGAAGACUCGCUAACCAUCACAGAGCCUUCUUCUGACUUUUUUUUUUUUCGACAACUCUCGCCAAUUCCCUGAAGAUUUUUCCGGAGUUACUAGCGCUCUUCAAAGCUUCGCGAUCCGGUACACAAGUCUGCCUGCGUAAGCGGGGACAUCGUCUAACGCUUCCGCCGAAAGACUUUGGACGUUCUGCGGCUCUGCGGUUCACGUAGACUUGGCUUUGUGGACUAUUGCCCGACGCUGCUAUCCCGCUGCCCGGUCUCAACCUCCGUCGUGCUGAUGUGUCGCUAAGCUAAGCUAACGAGCUUAAGCGAUACUCUUUUCCGCAGGCCAACAUUGCAGUUAAGAUCUUUUUUUUUUUUUUUGUUCAUCACUUGAAAGAUUUGAGAAUUUUGUGAAAUACUGGAUUUGUUUAUUAUUUUGUCUUUGUGUCAUUGUCAUAACAUUUUAAACAAAUAAUAAACAUUUCGCUUUGCUUGCGGUGGACUAAUAUACAGGUUUUACUUUCUGAAACAAAUGGAAUAAAUGGAGUUUGCCUCGAUAUUAAAAAAAAAAAUAUUCCACCGCCUUUUGUUUUCCGUGUUAGCGCUUCCUUCGUGAUUUCUGUCACAUAGAGUAAAAGAUCGAGGGCACAAUACUGGGCCUUUGUGACGCAGUCCUCAGUCCCACGAUGUGUGUACGCCAGGUAGCCUAACAGUCAGUCUGGGCUCGACGUGCUGUCGGUCGCGUCUUCAACAAAUGCGGUGAGAAACGUAACGUCGUCCACCUCGUGUGAGUAACGGGAGCUUAGUGAUCGAAAAUGGCCGCCGUUCGAGGCAGCCCAACAGGUGACGUCACGCGAAAACGACCCAUGAUAUACUUGAGCGGCGCUACGAGGACACGUUUCCGCGGAUCCAUCAUAUCAUCAAGUUUUGAACACCCCCCGCGCCCCUGCUAUUAUUGAACGCAGUACGUACGUGGAUCUCCGAAGGAUUAAAGAAGACAAGAAGUGAAAAGUUUUUGUUUACCGAUUGAGGUCAAAAAGGUUUCAACGUCGCUCUGCUCGACCUCCCGCCGACAAAGAAUGACAGACCUCAAAGCCAGGACGUGGCCUCUGGAUGAUAUCUUCAAGAAAUUUAUUUUACACCUCAAAACAAAAACAAAAAGAGGAGCGGGAAUUUAGCGAUGUGGUACAUUGGGAAUGUAUUGACAACUGUAGUUUACAUUUUCUUUUUUUUUUUUUCUUUCUUUUUUUUUUUGGUGUAAGCUCAGAGAAAAAAAAAAUGUUCAUACAGUCAUAAUAAUUGCACUUCAUAAAUCUAGACUGAUGCCAGUAUUUUCCCACAACAAAGCUCCGGCUCUCACUUUUAUUGAAUAAAUUGAAUUUAGCAUUGAAAUUCCACUGACAAAAGAAAUGCUAAUCAAGACCGUAGGCCCGUUGCACUGAUCCAAUUUUUUUUUCAUUUUUUUUUUUUUAAUUUUUCCUCUUUCACUUGAAUCCCACAAGGCAAUAACACAUCGCAGUAAUUUAAGUGCAGUACAUUCAAGGGAAUCUCACAGUCCUAAUAAAUAUUUCACCGCUCUGAAUCAUCGCGUUAAGACGGGCCUGGGCUAAAAACGCGUCGCAACCCCGGGGGUGGAUUGGGGGGCUCGAACCAACAAGGAAAAAGUAACGACCCUUCUCUCCAUCCAUCGGGUGCCAGAGGAGGGCAAAUGAUUGUUUUCGGAUAUAGAUAUAUAUCUUUUUUUUGUUUGAUUCGCAAGAAGAGCGAAUCGUAUCUCUCGAAAUCGGGCUCCCUGGUACCGUCUACCGCGACGAUGGCAGAUUGGACAAUUACACUCGAGACGGCGCCGCCGACGUCCUCCGUCGCAAAAGGAAGCGAGACCUGCAAAAGAAUUGCUGUACAUUACUCGGAUAUGAUUUUUCCGGGGACCGCGGUGGAAAUCUUCGAACGACACGUGGGGAAAAUAAAGAGUCUGAGGCUUCUGAAGAGCAAAACGCGCACACACACACACAAACGCACGUACAUUUAUCGUCGCGUCGAUAACCUGGCAAUUCACAUUCUUCACUGUAACAUUUUCUUUUCUGUUCGAUGUUAUGAAAUAAGUGAUUCAAGAUUUAACGUUGUGAAGGAGUAUUAGGAGGACAUCGAAAAAUAAAAAGACAAAAAUUCACAGUAUUACAAAGAUACCUUGUGGAAAUAUUCAAAUAAAAUGUUUUGAAAUGAGUGCCGUAAUUUCCGGCCUAUAAGCCGCGACCUUUUUUCAGACACUUUCAACCCAGCGGCUUAUGCGGUGAUGCGGCUAAUUUGUGCAUUUUUUUCUAACGGCUGCAAAGGGGGCACUGGAGCGGAAAAGGUAAGAGUGAGAUCGCUGGAAUUUGUGGGCCAAAGAAGUGACUUUUACCGGUCCGGCCCUGUUAGCGUUGCGCUAUUGUGGUAUUGCCGUGUCUCAGUGAUUUUUACCGGUAUAUAUAUUUUUUUUAACCAGCCCUGUUAGAGUUAGCGCUGUGGCGCUAGCGGUAAGCUCUCUGUGUACUAUCUUUCUUUGUAAAUAUCUCGUGUUUCAAUGUGGGUUUCAUUG
Long non-coding RNA from Syngnathoides biaculeatus (alligator pipefish), 5648 nucleotides. RefSeq lists it as uncharacterized. NCBI's taxonomy places the organism in Eukaryota, Metazoa, Chordata, Actinopteri, Syngnathiformes, Syngnathidae. The record is from RefSeq and is a predicted model, not a curated record. The transcript has 4 exons.